Molecule: non-coding RNA, 301 nt
Organism: Pelodiscus sinensis (Chinese soft-shelled turtle)
Lineage: Eukaryota; Metazoa; Chordata; Testudines; Trionychidae
Source: RefSeq, a predicted model, not a curated record
CUAGAGAAACUCACAAAAGAAGCAGAGAGCCUGGCAGAAUACCAAAAACUAAUGAAAAAGCACAAUAUAACUUUGGCCCAGUUAAACAAGAGUUUUGAUGAGGUUCAAUCAAGACUGGAACGUAUAGCAGCUGUGAAGCCCAGUAAUGAAUUUUUGAAUCAGUAACAGAUAAUGUCCCGAGUUUUCCUCGUGUACUGUACUUUCCAAAGCUGUUGUAGAACACAAAUGUAUAAGAAACAUCAGUAUAGUUCAUGUUGGAGUAGAAAUUGGGCAAAAAGUAAACAUGCUUCUUUAACUUUUA